AUGGACAGCAUAGGUUAGUGAACGUAGAAAUAAUUAAAAACUUUCACACGCUUUACCCACGCUAAGGGAAGAACCUCAAAUAUCCUUUUCAUCACACUUGCUCGAAAAAGAUCUUAUUUCAUGCUGGUGUACUGAAGGAAAUUUUUUGACUUAUUUUGUUUCCGCGCCAGUUAUGGAUUGUGAAAAAGAAGAUUUUUUUUUACUAUGUCACUUAUUCAUACAAACCAAGUAGCAUAUUUAGAGUUUUACUUUUAAAAUACUGACGUUUACAAUUUAAUAUUUUUUUUAUGUUUAAAAUUAUUUAAUUUGAUUAAUUUAACAGCCCUUUAAACUAUUUUGACAUAAUUUUCAAUCGUGGCUGAAUGCCGAAUAGGUCUGUGCCUUCGAUGCCUCACCUGCCAAGAAAUUCCAAAAUGGCGGACGAAUGUUUGAUAUGUCACCGUAUUUAAGAAUCAUUUCGCUUAAAAUUUAGUUUUUUCUUCGCAAGUGUGAUGAAAAACAUUGUGUGUAACUCCGGGGGUAAGAAUUUUGCAAACUCGGGUGCUGCAGCUGUCGGGAAUUACCAACCUCGUAUCCAAAAUUUCACUUACCCCCCUCGUUGCACAAUGUACUAUUCAAACUGGAACUCUGCAUUAUUUUAAGAUAACUUGUUUCAAGUUUCAAGGUCUAACCUCAACGGUUUAGGCUGUGCAUUAUCUAUCAAUAUCUAAGUAACGGAAAUGAACGGAAACGGAAAUUUUAUAUAUCUAGAUUAAAUAAAUGUAACACGAGAAAUAGCGUGCGACUUUCAAUCCGAAGAUCGCGGGUUCAAAUCCCGGCUCGUAGCAAUGAGUUUUUUGGAACUACGAACGUUAAGCUCUAAGUACGAACCCUAAUACUAACUACGUAAGCAGACUUGUCUAUUAAAUCUUUGAUGUAUUGUUUUUUAAGUUGACAAUACAUAAAUGACCAAGAUUUAUUACCUAUGGCUAUAAACAUUGCUAUAUAAAUGCAAAGACCUGACAACCACCCACAUAAUCCAACCGACUUCCAAGAUGAAACUGGCUCUCAUUCUUUUCGCUCUGUUGGGCAUGGUGCUGGGUGCCUUCGGGCAGCUGUGCGGCUGCCAGCCCGACCCGAUGGGUCCACUGUGCGCCAGCGACGGCAACUCGUACGACAGCGUGUGCGAGAUGAACUGCAAGACGGCGGGCAGAGGCGUUUACAAGGUCCGCGAUGGACCCUGUCUGUGAGACAUAAAACAGUGUCCGAUGAUAUGAUAUGAUCCUGAGAUUUUUGCUUCAACUAUCGUUUAUUGCCUUCUGAAAGUUUUUCUUUCCUUAUUUUUUGAGAUCCAGUCGCUUUGUACUACCUAUUUUAUGUUUUUUGAUAUUUACUUACCUAUUUCUUCUGUGCAAUAAAAUAUUUAUCAAUUA
This is a long non-coding RNA of Cydia pomonella (codling moth), 1412 nucleotides long. RefSeq lists it as uncharacterized. The record is from RefSeq and is a predicted model, not a curated record. The transcript is spliced from 2 exons. Lineage: Eukaryota; Metazoa; Arthropoda; Insecta; Lepidoptera; Tortricidae.